This 468-nucleotide ribosomal RNA is filed under the name uncultured bacterium. Its description in RNAcentral is "partial 16S ribosomal RNA". It matches the Rfam family "Bacterial small subunit ribosomal RNA", at positions 28 to 507 of the family's 1533-position model. The record is from RNAcentral.
GACGAACGCUGGCGGCGUGCUUAACACAUGCCAGUCGAACGGAAAGGCCCUGCUUUUGUGGGGUGCUCGAGUGGCGAACGGGUGAGUAACACGUGAGUAACCUGCCCUUGACUUUGGGAUAACUUCAGGAAACUGGGGCUAAUACCGGAUAGGAGCUCCUGCUGCAUGGUGGGGGUUGGAAAGUUUCGGCGGUUGGGGAUGGACUCGCGGCUUAUCAGCUUGUUGGUGGGGUAGUGGCUUACCAAGGCUUUGACGGGUAGCCGGCCUGAGAGGGUGACCGGCCACAUUGGGACUGAGAUACGGCCCAGACUGCUACGGGAGGCAGCAGUGGGGAAUAUUGCACAAUGGGCGGAAGCCUGAUGCAGCAACGCCGCGUGCGGGAUGACGGCCUUCGGGUUGUAAACCGCUUUCGCCUGCGACGAAGCGUGAGUGACGGUAAUGGGUAAAGAAGCACCGGCUAACUACGUG